CUUCACCGACCCCAGCCACAGGGGCUCUUCACGUCCCUGCCCGUACGUGGCGAAGAGGGCCUGCGCCUC
RNAcentral lists this antisense RNA (69 nucleotides) under Streptomyces variegatus. Its description in RNAcentral is "ASpks sRNA". It matches the Rfam family "ASpks TB sRNA". Lineage: Bacteria; Bacillati; Actinomycetota; Actinomycetes; Kitasatosporales; Streptomycetaceae. The record is from RNAcentral.